UGCAAGUCGAGCGGAUGACGGGAGCUUGCUCCUUGAUUCAGCGGCGGACGGGUGAGUAAUGCCUAGGAAUCUGCCUGGUAGUGGGGGACAACGUUUCGAAAGGAACGCUAAUACCGCAUACGUCCUACGGGAGAAAGCAGGGGACCUUCGGGCCUUGCGCUAUCAGAUGAGCCUAGGUCGGAUUAGCUUGUUGGUGAGGUAAUGGCUCACCAAGGCGACGAUCCGUAACUGGUCUGAGAGGAUGAUCAGUCACACUGGAACUGAGACACGGUCCAGACUCCUACGGGAGGCAGCAGUGGGGAAUAUUGGACAAUGGGCGAAAGCCUGAUCCAGCCAUGCCGCGUGUGUGAAGAAGGUCUUCGGAUUGUAAAGCACUUUAAGUUGGGAGGAAGGGCAGUAAGCUAAUACCUUGCUGUUUUGACGUUACCGACAGAAUAAGCACCGGCUAACUCUGUGCCAGCAGCCGCGGUAAUACAGAGGGUGCAAGCGUUAAUCGGAAUUACUGGGCGUAAAGCGCGCGUAGGUGGUUUGUUAAGUUGGAUGUGAAAGCCCCGGGCUCAACCUGGGAACUGCAUCCAAAACUGGCAAGCUAGAGUACGGUAGAGGGUGGUGGAAUUUCCUGUGUAGCGGUGAAAUGCGUAGAUAUAGGAAGGAACACCAGUGGCGAAGGCGACCACCUGGACUGAUACUGACACUGAGGUGCGAAAGCGUGGGGAGCAAACAGGGAUUAGAUACCCUGGUAGUCCACGCCGUAAACGAUGUCAACUAGCCGUUGGGAAUCCUUGAGAUUUUAGUGGCGCAGCUAACGCAUUAAGUUGACCGCCUGGGGAGUACGGCCGCAAGGUUAAACUCAAAUGAAUUUGACGGGGGCCCGCACAAGCGGUGGGAGCAUGUGGUUUAAUUCGAA
This 907-nucleotide ribosomal RNA is filed under the name Pseudomonas hunanensis. RNAcentral's name for it is "bacterial SSU rRNA". It matches the Rfam family "Bacterial small subunit ribosomal RNA", at positions 56 to 955 of the family's 1533-position model. Lineage: Bacteria; Pseudomonadati; Pseudomonadota; Gammaproteobacteria; Pseudomonadales; Pseudomonadaceae. The record is from RNAcentral.